This 32-nucleotide non-coding RNA is filed under the name Syntrophotalea carbinolica DSM 2380. Lineage: Bacteria; Pseudomonadati; Thermodesulfobacteriota; Desulfuromonadia; Desulfuromonadales; Syntrophotaleaceae. The record is from RNAcentral.
AUGUACGGGUCGGUGCAUCGCAUGGAAGAAAU